Molecule: ribosomal RNA, 1581 nt
Filed under: Escherichia coli
Lineage: Bacteria; Pseudomonadati; Pseudomonadota; Gammaproteobacteria; Enterobacterales; Enterobacteriaceae
Description: partial 23S ribosomal RNA
Rfam family: Bacterial large subunit ribosomal RNA
Source: RNAcentral
AUAAUGGGUCAGCGACUUAUAUUCUGUAGCAAGGUUAACCGAAUAGGGGAGCCGAAGGGAAACCGAGUCUUAACUGGGCGUUAAGUUGCAGGGUAUAGACCCGAAACCCGGUGAUCUAGCCAUGGGCAGGUUGAAGGUUGGGUAACACUAACUGGAGGACCGAACCGACUAAUGUUGAAAAAUUAGCGGAUGACUUGUGGCUGGGGGUGAAAGGCCAAUCAAACCGGGAGAUAGCUGGUUCUCCCCGAAAGCUAUUUAGGUAGCGCCUCGUGAAUUCAUCUCCGGGGGUAGAGCACUGUUUCGGCAAGGGGGUCAUCCCGACUUACCAACCCGAUGCAAACUGCGAAUACCGGAGAAUGUUAUCACGGGAGACACACGGCGGGUGCUAACGUCCGUCGUGAAGAGGGAAACAACCCAGACCGCCAGCUAAGGUCCCAAAGUCAUGGUUAAGUGGGAAACGAUGUGGGAAGGCCCAGACAGCCAGGAUGUUGGCUUAGAAGCAGCCAUCAUUUAAAGAAAGCGUAAUAGCUCACUGGUCGAGUCGGCCUGCGCGGAAGAUGUAACGGGGCUAAACCAUGCACCGAAGCUGCGGCAGCGACGCUGAUGCGUUGUUGGGUAGGGGAGCGUUCUGUAAGCCUGUGAAGGUGUGCUGUGAGGCAUGCUGGAGGUAUCAGAAGUGCGAAUGCUGACAUAAGUAACGAUAAAGCGGGUGAAAAGCCCGCUCGCCGGAAGACCAAGGGUUCCUGUCCAACGUUAAUCGGGGCAGGGUGAGUCGACCCCUAAGGCGAGGCCGAAAGGCGUAGUCGAUGGGAAACAGGUUAAUAUUCCUGUACUUGGUGUUACUGCGAAGGGGGGACGGAGAAGGCUAUGUUGGCCGGGCGACGGUUGUCCCGGUUUAAGCGUGUAGGCUGGUUUUCCAGGCAAAUCCGGAAAAUCAAGGCUGAGGCGUGAUGACGAGGCACUACGGUGCUGAAGCAACAAAUGCCCUGCUUCCAGGAAAAGCCUCUAAGCAUCAGGUAACAUCAAAUCGUACCCCAAACCGACACAGGUGGUCAGGUAGAGAAUACCAAGGCGCUUGAGAGAACUCGGGUGAAGGAACUAGGCAAAAUGGUGCCGUAACUUCGGGAGAAGGCACGCUGAUAUGUAGGUGAAGUCCCUCGCGGAUGGAGCUGAAAUCAGUCGAAGAUACCAGCUGGCUGCAACUGUUUAUUAAAAACACAGCACUGUGCAAACACGAAAGUGGACGUAUACGGUGUGACGCCUGCCCGGUGCCGGAAGGUUAAUUGAUGGGGUCAGCGCAAGCGAAGCUCUUGAUCGAAGCCCCGGUAAACGGCGGCCGUAACUAUAACGGUCCUAAGGUAGCGAAAUUCCUUGUCGGGUAAGUUCCGACCUGCACGAAUGGCGUAAUGAUGGCCAGGCUGUCUCCACCCGAGACUCAGUGAAAUUGAACUCGCUGUGAAGAUGCAGUGUACCCGCGGCAAGACGGAAAGACCCCGUGAACCUUUACUAUAGCUUGACACUGAACAUUGAGCCUUGAUGUGUAGGAUAGGUGGGAGGCUUUGAAGUGUGGACGCCAGUCUG